RNAcentral lists this ribosomal RNA (1343 nucleotides) under uncultured bacterium. RNAcentral describes it as "16S ribosomal RNA". It matches the Rfam family "Bacterial small subunit ribosomal RNA", at positions 28 to 1378 of the family's 1533-position model. The record is from RNAcentral.
GACGAACGCUGGCGGCGUGCUUAACACAUGCAAGUCGAACGGAAAGGCCCUGCUUUUGUGGGGUGCUCGAGUGGCGAACGGGUGAGUAACACGUGAGUAACCUGCCCUUGACUUUGGGAUAACUUCAGGAAACUGGGGCUAAUACCGGAUAGGAGCUCCUGCUGCAUGGUGGGGGUUGGAAAGUUUCGGCGGUUGGGGAUGGACUCGCGGCUUAUCAGCUUGUUGGUGGGGUAGUGGCUUACCAAGGCUUUGACGGGUAGCCGGCCUGAGAGGGUGACCGGCCACAUUGGGACUGAGAUACGGCCCAGACUCCUACGGGAGGCAGCAGUGGGGAAUAUUGCACAAUGGGCGGAAGCCUGAUGCAGCAACGCCGCGUGCGGGAUGACGGCCUUCGGGUUGUAAACCGCUUUCGCCUGUGAUGAAGCGUGAGUGACGGUAAUGGGUAAAGAAGCACCGGCUAACUACGUGCCAGCAGCCGCGGUGAUACGUAGGGUGCGAGCGUUGUCCGGAUUUAUUGGGCGUAAAGGGCUCGUAGGUGGUUGAUCGCGUCGGAAGUGUAAUCUUGGGGCUUAACCCUGAGCGUGCUUUCGAUACGGGUUGACUUGAGGAAGGUAGGGGAGAAUGGAAUUCCUGGUGGAGCGGUGGAAUGCGCAGAUAUCAGGAGGAACACCAGUGGCGAAGGCGGUUCUCUGGGCCUUUCCUGACGCUGAGGAGCGAAAGCGUGGGGAGCGAACAGGCUUAGAUACCCUGGUAGUCCACGCUGUAAACGGUGGGUACUAGGUGUGGGGUCCAUUCCACGGGUUCCGUGCCGUAGCUAACGCUGUAAGUACCCCGCCUGGGGAGUACGGCCGCAAGGCUAAAACUCAAAGGAAUUGACGGGGCCCCGCACAAGCGGCGGAGCAUGCGGAUUAAUUCGAUGCAACGCGUAGAACCUUACCUGGGUUUGACAUGGAUCGGGAGUGCUCAGAGAUGGGUGUGCCUCUUUUGGGGUCGGUUCACAGGUGGUGCAUGGCUGUCGUCAGCUCGUGUCGUGAGAUGUUGGGUUAAGUCCCGCAACGAGCGCAACCCUUGUUCACUGUUGCCAGCACGUUAUGGUGGGGACUCAGUGGAGACCGCCGGGGUCAACUCGGAGGAAGGUGGGGAUGACGUCAAGUCAUCAUGCCCCUUAUGUCCAGGGCUUCACGCAUGCUACAAUGGCUGGUACAGAGAGUGGCGAGCCUGUGAGGGUGAGCGAAUCUCGGAAAGCCGGUCUCAGUUCGGAUUGGGGUCUGCAACUCGACCUCAUGAAGUCGGAGUCGCUAGUAAUCGCAGAUCAGCAACGCUGCGGUGAAUACGUUCCCGGG